UAGGGAAUCUUCCGCAAUGGACGCAAGUCUGACGGAGCAACGCCGCGUGAGUGAAGAAGGAUUUCGGUUCGUAAAACUCUGUUGUUAGAGAAGAACAGCGCAUAGAGUAACUGUUAUGCGUGUGACGGUAUCUAACCAGAAAGCCACGGCUAACUACGUGCCAGCAGCCGCGGUAAUACGUAGGUGGCAAGCGUUGGCCGGAUUUAUUGGGCGUAAAGCGAGCGCAGGCGGUCAAUUAAGUCUGAUGUGAAAGCCCCCGGCUCAACCGGGGAGGGUCAUUGGAAACUGGUUGACUUGAGUGCAGAAGAGGAGAGUGGAAUUCCAUGUGUAGCGGUGAAAUGCGUAGAUAUAUGGAGGAACACCAGUGGCGAAGGCGACUCUCUGGUCUGUAACUGACGCUGAGGCUCGAAAGCGUGGGUAGCAAACAGG
This 429-nucleotide ribosomal RNA is filed under the name Bacteroidota bacterium. Its description in RNAcentral is "Bacteroidetes bacterium partial 16S ribosomal RNA". It matches the Rfam family "Bacterial small subunit ribosomal RNA", at positions 355 to 776 of the family's 1533-position model. Lineage: Bacteria; Pseudomonadati; Bacteroidota. The record is from RNAcentral.